AUGAACGCUAGCGGGAGGCCUAACACAUGCAAGCCGAGCGGUAGAGAUCUUUCGGGAUCUUGAGGGCGGCGUACGGGUGCGGAACACGUGUGCAACCUGCCUUUAUCUGGGAGAUAGCCUUUCGAAAGGAAGAUUAAUACCCCAUAAUAUAUGAUUCGGCAUCGGAUUCUAUUGAAAGCUCCGGCGGAUAGAGAUGGGCACGCGCAAGAUUAGAUAGUUGGUGAGGUAACGGCUCACCAAGUCAGUGAUCUUUAGGGGGCCUGAGAGGGUGAUCCCCCACACUGGUACUGAGACACGGACCAGACUCCUACGGGAGGCAGCAGUGAGGAAUAUUGGACAAUGGGUGAGAGCCUGAUCCAGCCAUCCCGCGUGAAGGACGACGGCCCUAUGGGUUGUAAACUUCUUUUGUAUAGGGAUAAACCUACCCUCGUGAGGGUAGCUGAAGGUACUAUACGAAUAAGCACCGGCUAACUCCGUGCCAGCCGCCGCCGUAA
This 494-nucleotide ribosomal RNA is filed under the name uncultured bacterium. RNAcentral's name for it is "partial 16S ribosomal RNA". It matches the Rfam family "Bacterial small subunit ribosomal RNA", at positions 29 to 523 of the family's 1533-position model. The record is from RNAcentral.